CAGCCGCCACGGUAAUGCGUAGGGUGCGAGCGUUAAUCGGAAUUACUGGGCGUAAAGCGUGCGCAGGCGGUUGUGUAAGACAGGUGUGAAAUCCCCGGGCUUAACCUGGGAACUGCGCUUGUGACUGCACAGCUAGAGUAUGGCAGAGGGGGGUGGAAUUCCACGUGUAGCAGUGAAAUGCGUAGAGAUGUGGAGGAACACCGAUGGCGAAGGCAGCCCCCUGGGCCAAUACUGACGCUCAUGCACGAAAGCGUGGGGAGCAAACAGGAUUAGAUACCCGUGUAGUCCCUGUCUCUUAUAC
RNAcentral lists this ribosomal RNA (301 nucleotides) under uncultured bacterium. RNAcentral's name for it is "partial 16S ribosomal RNA". It matches the Rfam family "Bacterial small subunit ribosomal RNA", at positions 509 to 807 of the family's 1533-position model. The record is from RNAcentral.